AUGGGGUCCUCAACUGUAGCCGGCAUCCUCCUCUCCUCCGAUAAUACAAAUACCAUGGCCCCCGCCGUGAUGGCUUCGUCGGCUACCACCGUCGCACCCUUCCAGGGGCUCAAGUCCACAGCCGGCCUGCCCGUCAGCCGCCGCUCCAGCGGCAGCCUCGGCAGCGUCAGCAACGGCGGAAGGAUCAGGUGCAUGCAGGUGUGGCCAAUUGAGGGCAUCAAGAAGUUCGAGACCCUGUCUUACUUGCCACCCCUCUCCACGGAAGCCCUCCUGAAGCAGGUCGACUACCUGAUCCGCUCCAAGUGGGUGCCCUGCCUCGAGUUCAGCAAGGUUGGCUUCGUCUUCCGUGAGCACAACAGCUCCCCCGGGUACUACGACGGUCGAUACUGGACAAUGUGGAAGCUGCCUAUGUUCGGGUGCACCGACGCCACACAGGUGCUCAACGAGGUGGAGGAGGUCAAGAAGGAGUACCCUGACGCCUAUGUCCGCGUCAUCGGCUUCGACAACCUGCGCCAGGUGCAGUGCGUCAGCUUCAUCGCCUUCAGGCCACCGGGUUGCGAGGAGUCCGGCAAGGCCUAA
RNAcentral lists this ribosomal RNA (579 nucleotides) under Triticum aestivum (bread wheat). Its description in RNAcentral is "partial small subunit ribosomal RNA". Lineage: Eukaryota; Viridiplantae; Streptophyta; Magnoliopsida; Poales; Poaceae. The record is from RNAcentral.